GAUGAACGCUGGCGGCGUGCCUAAUACAUGCAAGUCGAGCGAAUGGAUUAAGAGCUUGCUCUUAUGAAGUUAGCGGCGGACGGGUGAGUAACACGUGGGUAACCUGCCCAUAAGACUAGGAUAACUCCGGGAAACCGGGGCUAAUACCGGAUAACAUCUUGAACCGCAUGGUUCGAAAUUGAAAGGCGGCUUCGGCUGUCACUUAUGGAUGGACCCGCGUCGCAUUAGCUAGUUGGUGAGGUAACGGUCCACCAAGGCAACGAUGCGUAGCCGACCUGAGAGGGUGAUCGGCCACACUGGGACUGAGACGCGGCCCAGACUCCUACGGGAGGCAGCAGUAGGGAAUCUUCCGCAAUGGACGAAAGUCUGACGGAGCAACGCCGCGUGAGUGAUGAAGGCUUUCGGGUCGUAAAACUCUGUUGUUAGGGAAGAACAAGUGCUAGUUGAAUAAGCUGGCACCUUGACGGUACCUAACCAGAAAGCCACGGCUAACUACGUGCCAGCAGCCGCAGUAA
RNAcentral lists this ribosomal RNA (515 nucleotides) under uncultured bacterium. Its description in RNAcentral is "partial 16S ribosomal RNA". It matches the Rfam family "Bacterial small subunit ribosomal RNA", at positions 28 to 523 of the family's 1533-position model. The record is from RNAcentral.